This 21-nucleotide non-coding RNA is filed under the name Mus musculus (house mouse). RNAcentral also lists the same sequence under 1 other name. Lineage: Eukaryota; Metazoa; Chordata; Mammalia; Rodentia; Muridae. The record is from RNAcentral.
UGGAUUUAUUUACAGUUUGGA